ACAGAUCACCAGUUCCUGGUCCUAGAGAUACCUCUUCGCAGCUCAGCCCACUGCUCUCCUCCUCGGGGACCCUUAAGGGCCAGGACGGUUCUGGCAUCUAUUCUCCUGGCUUCUUCCCUCCACCCCACCCCCAGGACUAGCACAGCACUGGAUACAUAGCAGGCAUGUGCUGGUUGGUAGAUGGCCAUGUGAAGUCCGAUGUAAUUGAGACGUUGUGGAAAGGAGGCUGCCUGCGCUUUGGGGGAACGGUGGUGCGUGACCUCCCCACUAUGCCUGGGGUCCCCCGCUGGGAGGAGGCCUUACCUCAGCAGCUGGCGAGGCUGGUGCAGCUCUGUCCCUCAGGUCUGCUGAAGGGUUUCCUGGGAUGCAGGACUUUCAGUGUAAAACCCAGCAAGUCGGCAAAGGUUGGCCAGCCUAGACUACCUCGGCCACAUGAACAACUUCCUGAAUUCUAGGCCAAAGAGUCCUUCUGAUAAAUUCUAGACCCAUUCCUCUGGGAUGGCCAGCAAGCUCCCUGCUUCUGGAGUGGGACACAGGAGUUCACCAUUAGUCUGGACACACCAAAGAGUAAAGCAAAGGUCAAAUGUGGUCCUCCAAAAGGAUCUGGAUGAGUCCUCCCUGCGGUGACUGGUAAGGCAUAAGUGGUGUUUCUCAAAGUACAUCUGGGCCCAAGUGUAUCACAGUCUCCUGGGGAGCUCAUUACAAAUGCAGUUCCCAGGCCAUGUUCUAGAAAUACUAAAUCAUAAGCCCUAGGGGUAGGACAUAGGAAUCAGCAUUUUGAACAGUCACCCUAGGAAAUUCUCCUGCUUAAAAUUCUUCUAUGUAAAAGGUCUCUCUUGGGGGUAGUUGCUGUUUGUUUAAAUAAAAGACAAAGUUGUAUGUCAAAUUUAUCUCUACCGUAAAAUUUCCAGGAUUUCUCAACCUUGGCACAAUUGACAUUUUGGACCAGGUAAUUCUCUGCUGUGGGGACUGUCCUGCUCGUUGCAGGAUGUUUAACAACAUCCCUGGUGGUCCAGUGGCUAAGACUCCAUGCUCCCAAUGCAGGAGGCCCGGGUUCGAUCCCUGGUUGGGGAACUAGAUCCCACAUGCCGCAACUAAAAGAAAGAUCCUGCAUGCCACAACUAAGAUCUGGUGCAGCCAAAAUAAAUAAAUAUAUGUUUUAAAAAGUCUUUAAAAUAAAACAAAAACAACAUCACCGGACACUAGAUACCAGUAGCAUCCUACAGU
Long non-coding RNA from Lagenorhynchus albirostris (white-beaked dolphin), 1227 nucleotides. RefSeq lists it as uncharacterized. The transcript is spliced from 3 exons. NCBI's taxonomy places the organism in Eukaryota, Metazoa, Chordata, Mammalia, Artiodactyla, Delphinidae. The record is from RefSeq and is a predicted model, not a curated record.